RNAcentral lists this ribosomal RNA (448 nucleotides) under uncultured bacterium. RNAcentral's name for it is "bacterial SSU rRNA". It matches the Rfam family "Bacterial small subunit ribosomal RNA", at positions 355 to 825 of the family's 1533-position model. The record is from RNAcentral.
UGGGGAAUAUUGCGCAAUGGGGGAAACCCUGACGCAGCGACGCCGCGUGUGGGAUGAAGGUCUUCGGAUUGUAAACCACUGUCGCGAGGGACGAAGCUCUGACGGUACCUCGAAAGGAAGCACCGGCUAACUCUGUGCCAGCAGCCGCGGUAAUACAGAGGGUGCGAGCGUUGUCCGGAAUCACUGGGCGUAAAGGGCGCGUAGGCGGCCCGGUAAGUAGGGGGUGAAAUCUCAUGGCUCAACUGUGAGGCUGCCUUCUAGACUGCCAGGCUUGAGCACAGUAGAGGCGAGUGGAAUUCCCGGUGUAGCGGUGGAAUGCGUAGAGAUCGGGAAGACAUCGGUGGCGAAGGCGGCUCGCUGGGCUGUUGCUGACGCUGAGGCGCGAAAGCGUGGGGAGCAAACAGGAUUAGAUACCCACGUAGUCCCUGAGCGGGCUGGCAAGGCGCAU